Molecule: long non-coding RNA, 1106 nt
Filed under: Numida meleagris (helmeted guineafowl)
Lineage: Eukaryota; Metazoa; Chordata; Aves; Galliformes; Numididae
Description: lncRNA (ENSNMEG00000000920.1)
Source: RNAcentral
UAUGGGGCAGCCGUGGGGCAGGCACUGACGCGGUUGUGGAUGAAGAGCCGCACUUUGUCCCCGGGCAGCUCCAGGCGCAGCAGCCGCUGCAGGAACAGCUCCAGGAACGGGGUCGGCUGCUCCACGAACACCGCCAGCAGCGCCCGCACCGCCUGCACGCACCGACAGGGGGCGCCACAAACACAACGUGUGGGGCGGGCAGACACGGGGGGCGCGCACACAGCGAUGGGGCACACACAGCUAUGGGGCACGCACUGCUAUGGGGCACGCACACACAGCUAUGGGGCACACACAGCUAUGGGGCACGCACACACAGCUAUGGGGCACACACAGCUAUGGGGCACACACAGCUAUGGGGCACGCACUGCUAUGGGGCGCACACACUGCUAUGGGGCACGCACACACAGCUAUGGGGCACAAACAGCUAUGGGGCACGCACAGCUAUGGGGCACACACAGCUAUGGGGCACGCACAGCUAUGGGGCACGCACAGCUAUGGGGCACACACACACAGCUAUGGGGCACACACAGCUAUGGGGCACACACAGCUAUGGGGCACACACAGCUAUGGGGCGCGCACACAGUUAUGGGGCACACACAGCUAUGGGGCGCGCACACAGUUAUGGGGCAUGCACUGCUACGGGGCACACACACACAGCUAUGGGGCACGCACACUGCUAUGGGGCGUGCACAGCUAUGGGGCACACACACACUGCUAUGGGACACGCACACACAGCUAUGGGGCACACACACAGCUAUGGGGCACGCACUGCUAUGGGGCACACACACACACACGGGGCCCAGCCCCACAGAUCUAUGGGGCACACACACACACAAUGGGGCCCAGCCCCACUGAUCUAUGGGGCGCACACACACACAUGGGGCCCAGCCCCGCAGAUCUAUGGGGCACACACACACACACACACACAAUGGGGCCCAGCCCCACAGAUCUAUGGGGCGCACACACACACACAUGGGGCCCAGCCCCACAGAUCUAUGGGGCACACACACACACACGGGGCCCAGCCCCACAGAUGUAUGGGGCACACACACACACGGGGCCCAGCCCCACAGAUCUAUGGGGCACACACACACACACGGGGCCCA